UACAGGGGGUGCAAACGUUGCUCGGAAUUAUUGGGCGUAAAACGCGCGUAGGCGGCCUGCUAAGUCGAACGUGAAAUCCCUGGGCUCAACCCAGGAACUGCGUCCGAUACUGGUUGGCUUGAAUCCGGGAGAGGGAUGUGGAAUUCCAGGUGUAGCGGUGAAAUGCGUAGAUAUCGUCAAGAACACCGAUAGUGUAGACAGCUUACUAGGCUACAACUGACGCUGAGGCACGAAAGUGUGGGGAUCAAACAGG
RNAcentral lists this ribosomal RNA (253 nucleotides) under uncultured bacterium. RNAcentral describes it as "partial 16S ribosomal RNA". It matches the Rfam family "Bacterial small subunit ribosomal RNA", at positions 524 to 776 of the family's 1533-position model. The record is from RNAcentral.